This 2179-nucleotide long non-coding RNA is filed under the name Schizosaccharomyces pombe (fission yeast). The record is from RNAcentral. Lineage: Eukaryota; Fungi; Ascomycota; Schizosaccharomycetes; Schizosaccharomycetales; Schizosaccharomycetaceae.
CAAUAAUCCAUCAAGUAAGCAUAACUCUGACAUAAAGUAAAUAAAAAAAAAAAAAAAAUUAAAAAAAAAAAUUUAAUAAUAAUUAUAAUAAAAAUUUAAAUGAAAAACUGUUCAACAUCAAUACUUAUCAUAAAUAUUCCGACUCAAAACACUUCCUCUAAGAGUUUUUUCAUCUCACUCAUAAUACUUUUUCUAUCCAAAUUUCCGAUGUUUUUUCCCAUACCAUACAUACUGUGGCUUAAACUGAUAACUUACUAUUCCUCCUUAACAGCCAAGAGUUGACUGUUUUACCAAGUCCAUUUCGAACUGCUAUGAUCGUUUAAUAAUGUCAUUUUGCACAUAUUUGUUUGCCAUAUGCAUGCACAUUUGCCAUGCCCCUUGUCCAUCUUCUAUGUGCUGCUGGAAAGUCGGGUAAACGGGUAAAAUUGAAGGUUUGUAGCAUGUGUGUAUGUGCUAUCCCAUCUAAUGAGCUUGGAUGGAGUUAUUUGCUUACUGAUAUUGCAAAGGGGGAAAAGCGAAUUGGAGACUUUUUUCUUGCAUUAGAAGGGUACUAUUGAUUACCUUUUGUUUAAUAGGGCACCUUGGCAGAAUGCGAAAAAGUAAGCCAGAAAAAAAGGAAACUCUAGAAAAAGAGAGGCAAUUGAUUAAAGAGUAUUAAUAAUAAUAAUAUUUAAAGGAAGAAAAGAAAAGAAAGCCAAUAAUCGACUGCUAGAAUAUCCAACCCAUUUAAAUUUUUCAUUUUUUUAACGAACUCUCGGCCCAUCUCGAAAACAUAUUUUAUCGAUACCAGCCUUCUACUUCAUUAACAAGGAUAGAGUACCGAUGGACUACGAUAGGUGAUUUCGCUGCACCCGAUUGCUGUAUAUUGUAUUUCGCCCCUGUGACCGUUAAGAUUUUGGUCAGACUGAGUGCAGCUUUCGGGGUGCAAUAGUAAUGCCAAAAAUUCAAUGGCGUGACAUGCGAUAAUAUCGAAAUUUCUGUAAUGUAAAGCGACUCAACUUUUUCCUGUUCGACAAAAUUUGAUCAUAGGGGAAAAAACGAGAUGAAGUUUGGCUAUUCAUAUAACGAUGAAUUUUAUGUGCUGGAGGGAGCUCGGUUGAACCUAUUACCAUAAGUAUUUUUUACAAACACAUAAUUUUACUGUUUCGUAGCACGGUCUAUUAUUGUAGAAAUGUUUUAACCUUUAUAAGCGAGAUAAAACAGUCAACUCGUUACGCAAACUUAUCGACACUUUGCGAGAGUUAAAGUUACCAAGCUUUCCUACAUCGCUGGUUGGAAAGACAUAGUUAAAAUGAAGCUGGUUUGCUGGCUUUCAAAAUAGGAAGAUUUCCCAAUGUUUUAGUAUAUAACCGAGAUCGCUUAAAAUACUUUACUCUGAUAUCAACAACUCUAUGUUCAUAUCCGUUAUCAAUCAACAGGGAAUUGAGGAACCGUAGCAGUUUUUGUUAAAGUAGAGAAAAUGUCAAGUGACCCAUAAACUUGUAAAUUGGAGAUGAACGAACCCCUUAAAAAACCCAUUAACGAAACGAUUCCCUCUUUUUUUCUCAUACAAUGAGUUCUUAAUAAUAAAACUCACAUGACAAGUCGGUUCAUGAAUUCACUUUACUUUGCACUAGACUGCUACAAUUCCCUCUCCUUGAAAUUUCCAGUACUGCAUUGGGACGAAGUUGCCUAGUGUCUUGCCGUCGAAAGGCAGUUUUUGACUCGGCAAGCUUAGAACGUUUUCAUGAAACUCUAUCAAUUGCAUAAAUGGAUGCAAAGACAAACUAUUCACGGCAUUUGUUUAAACUAUUUUUGGAUACCGCGAUGUAAAUAGUAUGUAUACGGCCUUGAUAUCCUACUGUACCAACUGUAUACUAAAUAACGAUGCGAAGCGUAGAGGGUUGAAAUCAGUAGGAAAAAAUACCUACUUUCUGGAUUAUAAUUUCAACCAUUCUUUAUGAGAAUACAUUCAUGUUGUAUUUAGGAUCGGUAAUUAUAGUAAUCUACCUUCUCUUUCAUCAAAACACACUCUUCAACAUGCUAAAAGAUCGAUACAAAAUAAAAUCGCAAAUGGGAUAGUCCGCGCUAUGUUAUAGAGCAUUACGUUGCCAUUACUCACCCCACAUUCAGUUACUCUAUUAUACGUAGUUUGUGAUACUUAAGGUGAUAUCGUAUACUAUGUAAAGACAUGCACCAA